CCCUUAGAUGUUCUGGGCCGCACGCGCGCUACACUGAUGCAUUCAACGAGUCUAAAACCUGGUCUGAUAGGGCUGGGUAAUCUUUUGAAAGUGCAUCGUGAUUGGGAUAGAUGAUUGCAAUUCUUCAUCUUCAACGAGGAAUGCCUAGUAAACGCAAGUCAUCAGCUUGCAUUGAUUACGUCCCUGCCCUUUGUACACACCGCCCGUCGCUACUACCGAUUGAAUGGCUUAGUGAGCCCGAGGGACUGUUGCACCUAGAGGGUUUUCUCUCCAGGAGCAGCCGGGAACUCGGUCAAACUUGAUCAUUUAGAGGAAGUAAAAGUCGUAACA
RNAcentral lists this ribosomal RNA (330 nucleotides) under uncultured eukaryote. RNAcentral's name for it is "partial 18S ribosomal RNA". It matches the Rfam family "Eukaryotic small subunit ribosomal RNA", at positions 1470 to 1796 of the family's 1831-position model. The record is from RNAcentral.